AUUCUAGAUAGGAUAAAUCCUAAUCACAGAACUAAUCCUAAUCAAUAAAGACUUAAUUAACAAGAAUCCUAAAUAAAGAAGGAAAAAAACUAAAUAAAAUCCAUAACUGAAUAGAAAACUAAGUAAAAUCCAAAACUAAAUAGAGAACAAAAUAAAAUCCAAAACUGAAUAGGACUUCAGAUGCUCCUGCAUCAAUCUCCUAGGUUAGAGAAAAACUCAGCUGCGACAAGAUGUUUGGAUCAACUAGCUUAAGCUCUUCUUCAGUAAUCUAAGAGCUUUUAGUUGUUGGUCUACUGAGCCACUUCACCAAAAAUCUUUUAUAUGGGUUGCCACAUCUAGAUUGGACUUUUUUGAAAUCUAACACUUCUUCAAUAACAUUAGGAUGUUGGACUUAAGCUUCAAUGGUAGAAGUAAUACCAUCAAACCAGUCAAUGGUAGAAGCUUCAAUGUUUCAGACUUGUACCAAAGCCCAACCUUAAAACCCAGGUGCUAAGGUUGCAUAUGCUUGGCUAAAGUGU
RNAcentral lists this unclassified non-coding RNA (518 nucleotides) under Hevea brasiliensis (rubber tree). The record is from RNAcentral. Lineage: Eukaryota; Viridiplantae; Streptophyta; Magnoliopsida; Malpighiales; Euphorbiaceae.